CCUACGGGAGGCUGCAGUGAGGAAUAUUGGUCAAUGGACGAGAGUCUGAACCCGCCAAGUAGCGUGAAGGAUGACUGCCCUAUGGGUUGUAAACUUCUUUUAUAUGGGAAUAAAAUGUUCCACGUGUGGGAUUUUGUAUGUACCAUAUGAAUAAGGAUCGGCUAACUCCGUGCCAGCAGCCGCGGUAAUACGGAGGAUCCGAGCGUUAUCCGGAUUUAUUGGGUUUAAAGGGAGCGUAGGUGGAUUGUUAAGUCAGUUGUGAAAGUUUGCGGCUUAACCGUAAAAUUGCAGUUGAAACUGGCAGGCUUGAGUACAGUAGAGGUGGGCGGAAUUCGUGGUGUAGCGGUGAAAUGCUUAGAUAUCACGAAGAACUCCGAUUGCGAAGGCAGCUCACUGGACUGCAACUGACACUGAGGCUCGAAAGUGUGGGUAUCAAACAGGAUUAGAUACCCCAGUAGUC
RNAcentral lists this ribosomal RNA (460 nucleotides) under uncultured bacterium. Its description in RNAcentral is "partial 16S ribosomal RNA". It matches the Rfam family "Bacterial small subunit ribosomal RNA", at positions 338 to 795 of the family's 1533-position model. The record is from RNAcentral.